This 399-nucleotide ribosomal RNA is filed under the name Offachloritis dryanderensis. RNAcentral describes it as "partial 16S ribosomal RNA". It matches the Rfam family "Bacterial large subunit ribosomal RNA", at positions 1808 to 2583 of the family's 2925-position model. The record is from RNAcentral. Lineage: Eukaryota; Metazoa; Mollusca; Gastropoda; Stylommatophora; Camaenidae.
CAAAAACAUAGCCAUGUGUUAUUAUGCAUGGUGUUUUCUGCUCCAUGAGAUAUUAAAUAGCCGCAGUACCCUGACUGUGCAAAGGUAGCAUAAUCAUUUGUCUUUUAAUUGAAGUCUUGUAUGAAGAAUUUAUGGGGGGCAUUUAUACCACUACCAUAAAGCGAAAUUGCUAAGUAAGUGAAAAUUCUUAUAUGAUAACAAUAGACGAGAAGACCCUGGAAAUUUAUUAAUAGGUUUUGUUGGGGCAACAUUGGAGCAAUACAACCUCUCAUAUGUAUAUGAAAUAUAUUAGGUAACUUAAAUUACUCCAGGGAUAACAGCAUAAUUAAUAACUGUUUGUGACCUCGAUGUUGGAUUAGGAAGCUGCAGUUUAGAAGAUUAACAGCUAUGCUCUGUUCG